AAACUAUGAAAAUUAACGUCAGGAGACGAACAUGUAAUUUUGAAUUUUUUCGGAGCCUUGCAUUGAGAAAUUCUUUCUACAUCACUAAAUGCAGCUAUUCUACCCGUAUUUUUGUAAAAUUAUUAUUUCAAUUAUUAUAUUAUUACUACAAUGAUGACGUGCAGUAUACGGUUAACAGGCUUUGUAGCCGUGGGAUCAAAUUCGGAACAAAAGAUAAUGCCUCGUGAAAAAAUCG
Non-coding RNA from Cinara cedri, 235 nucleotides. NCBI's taxonomy places the organism in Eukaryota, Metazoa, Arthropoda, Insecta, Hemiptera, Aphididae. The record is from the annotation of a GenBank genome assembly.